UGCUAGGACUUUUUAUUGGGUUUGGU
Molecule: non-coding RNA, 26 nt
Filed under: Homo sapiens (human)
Lineage: Eukaryota; Metazoa; Chordata; Mammalia; Primates; Hominidae
Source: RNAcentral